GUAAAGUGCACCCUUUUACUCAGGCCACCAGAUCUUCUGAGUCCAGCAGUGGAGCAGACAGAUCCUUUGCCUUGGCACCCUGACAUCUGUGUUUAAUAAAACCACUGUUUCCAGGCAUCUUCUGAGGAAAACAUUAAAAGCAUAAGGCUUUCUAAAUAUCAAAUAGAUACAUAUUUGGAAUGCUUGAUUCAUCCUUAAAUAUUCUGGCC
Pelodiscus sinensis (Chinese soft-shelled turtle) is the source of this 209-nucleotide non-coding RNA. The record is from RefSeq and is a predicted model, not a curated record. NCBI's taxonomy places the organism in Eukaryota, Metazoa, Chordata, Testudines, Trionychidae.